Molecule: long non-coding RNA, 512 nt
Organism: Suricata suricatta (meerkat)
Lineage: Eukaryota; Metazoa; Chordata; Mammalia; Carnivora; Herpestidae
Exons: 3
Source: RefSeq, a predicted model, not a curated record
CCCGACCCCGCGGCGUGCGCACCUCUGGACUGGAGGGGGCACCGCGCCUUAUUUGUGCGAGAAACCCAUCAUGGCAGUGCCUUGUACGACCUAGCUUGCCUUUCAAAACAGAAUUCGUCAUACGAUUCUACAGGGGAGAGAUUGUUUGUGACAGUGGUUUUCAAGUAAAAUGCAUGCUGCUGGUUUGUAAGAAGUUGACAUCUACCUAAGCGUCCCCUCAUCAGAGGGCAGUGGGGCUGCCAUGGAUCCUAGCCAUGCUCGCAGGAAUGGGGCUGCUUUUGUUUCCAGGCCAGCCUGGAUGCUGCUUGCUGUGAAUUCCUGAAGGAGAGAGAACCAGCCUCGAUGAGAUGAGCGUCCUGGAGUGACGGUGAAGGGCUGCAGGGGGAAGUGCGAUGGGGCAAUUCCCUUCUCUGACAUACGCUUUUUUUUUCUUUUGUCUUCAGUCACCUUCUGCCAUUUCUCUGCUUUCCAUGGGUUUCUUUGUCUGUAAAAUGAAGGAACCGGAUGGAUGA